This 73-nucleotide transfer RNA is filed under the name Canis lupus familiaris (dog). It matches the Rfam family "tRNA". Rfam says of the family: Transfer RNA (tRNA) molecules are approximately 80 nucleotides in length. Their secondary structure includes four short double-helical elements and three loops (D, anti-codon, and T loops). RNAcentral also lists the same sequence under 1 other name. The record is from Rfam by way of RNAcentral. Lineage: Eukaryota; Metazoa; Chordata; Mammalia; Carnivora; Canidae.
GCCUAGUUGGCUUAGUCGGUGGAGCAUGUGACUCUUGAUUUCAGGGUUGUGGGUUAGAGCCCCACACUGGAUA